RNAcentral lists this ribosomal RNA (506 nucleotides) under uncultured bacterium. Its description in RNAcentral is "bacterial SSU rRNA". It matches the Rfam family "Bacterial small subunit ribosomal RNA", at positions 791 to 1301 of the family's 1533-position model. The record is from RNAcentral.
UAGUCCACGCCGUAAACGAUGGUCACUAGUUGUUGGGGCUUUAUGCCUCAGUGAUUAAGCGAAAGUGAUAAGUGACCCACCUGGGGAGUACGAUCGCAAGAUUGAAACUCAAAGGAAUUGACGGGGGCCCGCACAAGCGGUGGAGCAUGUGGUUUAAUUCGAUGAUACGCGAGGAACCUUACUAGGGCUUAAAUGUAAGUUGCAUAGACCAGAGAUGGUCUUUUCUUCGGACUACUUACAAGGUGCUGCAUGGUUGUCGUCAGCUCGUGCCGUGAGGUGUUGGGUUAAGUCCCGCAACGAGCGCAACCCUUAUCCUUAGUUGCCAGCACGUAAUGGUGGGGACUCUAGGGAGACUGCCGGCGUAAGCCGCGAGGAAGGUGGGGAUGACGUCAAAUCAUCAUGGCCUUUAUGCCUAGGGCGACACACGUGCUACAAUGGUAGGUACAGAUGGUAGCGAAGCCGCGAGGUGUAGCCAAUCUGAGAAAGCCUAUCCCAGUUCGGAUUGG